CUCCACUGUUUUCUCUCCCUCAUUUGGUAUUCCACCAUCUUACUGUUCUCUCCCAUUUCUCUCUUCUUUCUCUCCAUUUUUUAUUUUCAUUUUUCCAAAUAAGGGCUUCGUUUUCGCAUGUAAGAAACAAGGGCUUCGUUUUCGGCUUGGUUCGUCAUGUAUGAUGGUAUUUUACUUUUUUCGCACAAAAACAAACCAAAAGCUUCGACCUUUUUGUUCAUAAACGUUGUUUGUUGUUCGUUUUCGGCUUGGUUUGCAGGUAUGAUGGUAUUUCAAGCCAUAAGGUUCGACCUUUUUGUUCAUAAAAAACGUUGUUUGUUGUUCAUUUUCGGCUUGGUUUGCAGGUAUGAUGGUAUUUCAAGCCACAAGGUUCGACCUUUUUGUUCAUAAAAAAUGUUGUUUGUUGUUCGUUUUUGGUUUGGUUUGCAGGUAUGAUGGUAUUUCAAGCCACAAGGUUCGACCUUUUUGUUCAUAAACGUUGUUUGUUGUUCGUUUUCGGCUUGGUUUGCAGAUAUGUAGCAUUGGGUAUCUUUGUGACCGACAGCAACAACGAAGACAACAAAUAGUGUCCGACAUGAAAAGAACAGUCUUAUUUGACCGUGGUUGAGUAUUCUUCUUCUUUUGCAAGACAAAAGCCACAGAUCAUAGUAUGUUGGAUAGCUUACAGGUUUGUUUUCCCUCCCCGUCUCCUUCUGCGUUUUCAUUUUAUCUCUUUUUGCAUUUGUAUGUGUUUUUUUUUAUUUCGACUUUUUGUUUUUUCACUACAUGUUCAUUGUUAGGUUCAUUUUCCCUCCCCGUCUUCUUCUGCAUUUUCAUUUUACCUCUUUUUGCAUUUGUAUGCAUUUUUUUAUUUCAGUUUUUUGUUUUUUCACUGCAUGUUCAUUGUUUCUUCUAAAACUACGAUUUUUUCUCCAAAAAGCUUUGAUUUUUGGGUUCUAACAAUGCAAAAUAUUGAAUUUUUUAUCUCGGCCUUAUUUGUCCGUAGUUGAGUAUUGUUCUUCCUUUGCAUUUCGUGUUUCUUUUGUUCUGCCUUUGUUUUGUUAGUUCUCGCAGUGAAAAGAUAUAAUUUUUUGGUGUUCCUGAACCAUGUUGACCUUUUUCGUGUUCCUGAACAUGCUUCGUUUUCUUCGAAGGAGAAAACUUUGUUUUCUUUGCCCGAUGCUGACGUGGAUGAGUAAGUGCUUACGUGUGGUAAUGUCAAGAACCCUCAUUCCCGCCCAAAAACUUCACUGUCAACCUCCAUUUAUAUUAAUGAUUUUUAUUAAUUUUAAUUUUAUUGUGCAUUUAAUACUUUUUGUCUUUUGCGUUGUUUUUGCUCCGGUUACGAUGCAUUUAUUCAUUUAUUUCCAUUGUAAGUUUAAAUAUGUAAUAAUUAAUUAUUUGUAUUAUGUUCCCAAGAUGUUUGUCUUUCCAAUGUAUUUUUCUAUUCCCGAGACUUGGCUUUUCAAUGUGCUUUUAUUUGCCUUUCCAAUGCAUUUUUUUGUUCCCAAGACUUGCCUUUUCAAUGCAUUUUUCU
Long non-coding RNA from Glycine soja, 1516 nucleotides. RefSeq lists it as uncharacterized. The record is from RefSeq and is a predicted model, not a curated record. Lineage: Eukaryota; Viridiplantae; Streptophyta; Magnoliopsida; Fabales; Fabaceae. The transcript is spliced from 3 exons.